UGCAUGCAUUAUAGAUUAAAUUAUUUAAUCUAUGUAUAAUCUACUAUAAAUUUUUAAAAAUAUAUGCACAAAAUCCACCACACUUUUCUGUACGAACUCUGAAGAGCUUUAGUAAAUGGAUCGACCAGAUUCUCCUUUCCGUCGAUCUUCUGAAGGUCGAUAUCACCUCGAUCUAUGAUCUCCCAGAUAAGGUGAUAGCAGUGCAGAAUAUAUUUGAUGCUCUG
RNAcentral lists this long non-coding RNA (224 nucleotides) under Elaeis guineensis (African oil palm). Its description in RNAcentral is "long non-coding RNA (EGUI_LNC060882)". The record is from RNAcentral. Lineage: Eukaryota; Viridiplantae; Streptophyta; Magnoliopsida; Arecales; Arecaceae.